CUGGUUAGUUGGCUUGCAAGGUGUUUACAGUGCCACCAAAAACGCAUGAAAAAUUUUCUUUUGGGUUACGGCAGCGGCUGAGGGCUUGAAAAAUUCACAUCACUCGUAAGGAAGAAAAGAAACGGCACGCCAAAAAAACUCUGCAAACGGAAAACCGAAAAUGAUAUGAAGCUAAGCCUCUCAGCCUGGCUUAUCAUUGCUGGAGACGACGUCUCCUGUGGCUGCUAUUCCUGCAGCAGCUGCUGUGUGGCAUUGCUCCCCUUCAGAUGGAGAGGAAGCCGCGCUCAGCGCCUGGCCACGUAGAGAUGCUUGGGGCCAGCACAACGAGGGAACAGACUGAGAAGAAAAUGUCUUGGGACAACAGGAAGGAGAGGACAGUCACACAAGCAGCAUUGGGAAUAUCCAGCCUCCUCUGGAGCGGGGUCCUGCACAUGAGCAUUUGCCCCAGUGAUCCUUUUGACAGACAGCAGCAUGGGCAUCUGUUCCAGACUGACUGUCUCCAUGGAAUUCUGGGGGGUUUCUGCUGCUCCUUCCUGCCUCCCUCUCCAGUGUUUGCAUAGGUGUUCCUUACUCUUGCUACAUUCACUGAAAUCACGAGGAAAUUCCAUGGAAAUGCAAAGCUGAACACCACAAUGGGGAAGGCUGUAUGGAAACAUUCAUUCAGGAGGCUUGGGCAUAGCUGGCUGCAUUCCUGCUGCUGGGACAGGCACUCCUUGGGAAAAAAAGAACAAAACCACCUGGCAUGUUCCUCUGCUGUAAAAUAAAUCACAAAGAGAGAAUUUCA
This 784-nucleotide long non-coding RNA is filed under the name Zonotrichia albicollis (white-throated sparrow). Its description in RNAcentral is "lncRNA (ENSZALG00000011090.1)". The record is from RNAcentral. Lineage: Eukaryota; Metazoa; Chordata; Aves; Passeriformes; Passerellidae.